CCUACGGGAGGCAGCAGUGGGGAAUAUUGGGCAAUGGGCGCAAGCCUGACCCAGCAACGCCGCGUGAAGGAAGAAGGCUUUCGGGUUGUAAACUUCUUUUCUCAGGGACGAAGCAAGUGACGGUACCUGAGGAAUAAGCCACGGCUAACUACGUGCCAGCAGCCGCGGUAAUACGUAGGUGGCAAGCGUUAUGCGGAUUUACUGGGUGUAAGGGGCGUGUAGGCGGGAAAGCAAGUCAGAUGUGAAAACCAUGGGCUCAACCUGUGGCCUGCAUUUGAAACUGUUUUUCUUGAGUACUGGAGAGGCAGACGGAAUUCCUAGUGUAGCGGUGAAAUGCGUAGAUAUUAGGAGGAACACCAGUGGCGAAGGCGGUCUGCUGGACAGCAACUGACGCUGAGGCGCGAAAGCGUGGGGAGCAAACAGGAUUAGAUACCCCUGUAGUC
This 443-nucleotide ribosomal RNA is filed under the name uncultured bacterium. RNAcentral's name for it is "partial 16S ribosomal RNA". It matches the Rfam family "Bacterial small subunit ribosomal RNA", at positions 338 to 795 of the family's 1533-position model. The record is from RNAcentral.